AAUAGAUACCCUGGUAGUCCACGCCAUAAACGAUGAGUGCUAAGUGUUAGGGGGUUUCCGCCCCUUAGUGCUGCAGCUAACGCAUUAAGCACUCCGCCUGGGGAGUACGGUCGCAAGACUGAAACUCAAAGGAAUUGACGGGGGCCCGCACAAGCGGUGGAGCAUGUGGUUUAAUUCGAAGCAACGCGAAGAACCUUACCAGGUCUUGACAUCCCAUUGACCGCUAUGGAGACAUAGUUUUCCCUUCGGGGACAGUGGUGACAGGUGGUGCAUGGUUGUCGUCAGCUCGUGUCGUGAGAUGUUGGGUUAAGUCCCGCAACGAGCGCAACCCUUGAUCUUAGUUGCCAUCAUUUAGUUGGGAACUCUAAGGUGACUGCCGGUGACAAACCGGAGGAAGGUGGGGAUGACGUCAAAUCAUCAUGCCCCUUAUGACCUGGGCUACACACGUGCUACAAUGGACGGUACAAACGGUUGCCAACCCGCGAGGGGGAGCUAAUCCGAUAAAACCGUUCUCAGUUCGGAUUGUAGGCUGCAACUCGCCUAC
RNAcentral lists this ribosomal RNA (544 nucleotides) under uncultured bacterium. Its description in RNAcentral is "bacterial SSU rRNA". It matches the Rfam family "Bacterial small subunit ribosomal RNA", at positions 777 to 1319 of the family's 1533-position model. The record is from RNAcentral.